ACUCCUCGGUCGGAUCGGACCUCCACUGGUUUUAGCUUCGGUGAUAUUUCUAGAAUGAUUAUCACCGGGUGAAAAUCAGGGCAGGUCCGAUCCCAUCGA
RNAcentral lists this microRNA precursor (99 nucleotides) under Caenorhabditis remanei. RNAcentral's name for it is "mir-36 microRNA precursor family". It matches the Rfam family "mir-36 microRNA precursor family". Lineage: Eukaryota; Metazoa; Nematoda; Chromadorea; Rhabditida; Rhabditidae. The record is from Rfam by way of RNAcentral.